GACGAACGCUGGCGGCGCGCUUAACACAUGCAAGUCGAACGGAAAGGCCUGCUUUCCCUUGUGGAUUGCGGGUACUCGAGUGGCGAACGGGUGAGUAACACGUGAGUGAUCUGCCCCCAACUUGGGUAUAAGCCUGGGAAACUGGGUCUAAUUCCCGAUAGGACUGCAGGGUGGUGCCUGUGGUGGAAAACGAUUUUCUAGUGGUUGGGGGUGAGCUCGCGGCCUAUCAGCUUGUUGGUGGGGUAAUGGCCUACCAAGGCGGCGACGGGUAGCCGGCCUGAGAGGGUGGACGGCCACAUUGGGACUGAGAUACGGCCCAGACUCCUACGGGAGGCAGCAGUGGGGAAUAGUGCACAAUGGGCGGAAGCCUGAUGCAGCGACGCCGCGUGGGGGAUGACGGCCUUCGGGUUGUAAACUCCUUUCGACCGCGAGGAAGCCACCUGGUUGGAAGGGUGGUGACGGUAGUGGUAGAAGAAGCACCGGCUAACUACGUG
This 494-nucleotide ribosomal RNA is filed under the name uncultured bacterium. RNAcentral describes it as "partial 16S ribosomal RNA". It matches the Rfam family "Bacterial small subunit ribosomal RNA", at positions 28 to 507 of the family's 1533-position model. The record is from RNAcentral.